GAUCCUGGCUCAGGAUGAACGCUAGCUACAGGCUUAACACAUGCAAGUCGAGGGGCAGCGAGAGUGUAGCAAUACACUUGUCGGCGACCGGCGCACGGGUGAGUAACGCGUAUCCCAACCUGGCCCUUAGGUAGGGGAUAGCCCGGCGAAAGUCGGAUUAAUACCCUAUGUUCUCCUUUGAGAGCAUUUGAUGAGGAGCAAAGAUUUAUCGCGUAGGGGAUGGGGAUGCGUCCGAUUAGGCAGCAGGCGGGGUGACGGCCCACCUGGCCGACGAUCGGUAGGGGUUCUGAGAGGAACGGUCCCCCACACUGGUACUGAGACACGGACCAGACUCCUACGGGAGGCAGCAGUGAGGAAUAUUGGUCAAGUGGGCGCGAGCCUACGAACCAGCCAAGUAGCGUGGAGGGACGACCGGCCCGUACGGGUUAGUAAACCUUCUUUUGCCGGGGAAUAAAGUGCGGGACGCGUCCCGUUUUGUAUGUACCCGGAGAAUAAGGACCGGCUAAUUCCGUGCCAGCCGCCGC
RNAcentral lists this ribosomal RNA (524 nucleotides) under uncultured bacterium. RNAcentral's name for it is "bacterial SSU rRNA". It matches the Rfam family "Bacterial small subunit ribosomal RNA", at positions 15 to 518 of the family's 1533-position model. The record is from RNAcentral.